Molecule: ribosomal RNA, 433 nt
Filed under: uncultured microorganism
Description: bacterial SSU rRNA
Rfam family: Bacterial small subunit ribosomal RNA
Source: RNAcentral
GCAAUGCCCGAAAGGGUGACAAUGCGACGCCGCGUGAGCGAUGAAGGCCUUCGGGUUGUAAAGCUCUGUCAGCUCGGAUGAAAGCAGGGAAGCCAAUACCUUUCUGUCCGACGGUACGAGCAGAGGAAGCUGCGGCUAACUCCGUGCCAGCAGCCGCGGUAAUACGGAGGUGGCAAGCGUUGUUCGGAUUUACUGGGUGUAAAGGUCAUGUAAGCGUCUUACUAAGUCGGAUGUGAAAUCCCCUGGCUCAACCAGGGAACUGCAUUCGAUACUGGUUAGAUUGAGUACGGGAGAGGAAAGCGGAAUUCCGGAAGUAAGGGUGAAAUCUGUAGAUAUCCGGAAGAACACCAUUAGCGAAGGCGGCUUUCUGGCCCGAUACUGACGCUGAAAUGAGAAAGCUAGGGUAGCGAACAGGAUUAGAUACCCCCGUAGU